Molecule: long non-coding RNA, 209 nt
Filed under: Mytilus galloprovincialis (Mediterranean mussel)
Lineage: Eukaryota; Metazoa; Mollusca; Bivalvia; Mytilida; Mytilidae
Source: RNAcentral
GGGGGGGGUUAGGAUGAAAAAUUUUGUCUUGCAUGUUUUUUAGCUGUAAUCUCUGUCCUGUCUUUUUUAUUUUUCACUCUGUUCGGUCCUGCCUUUUUUUUUUUUUUUUUUUAGUUUAUCCUGACUUUUUUUUACCUGAAUUGUCGUCCUGACUUUUUUUUUUGCAAGUGUCUCAUCCUGCCUUUUUUUUUACUCAAAACUCCUGUCCU